AGGACUAACGCUGGCGGCGUGCCUAACACAUGCAAGUCGAACGAGAGUAGCAAUACUCUAGUGGCAGACGGGUGAGUAACACGUGGUCAACCUUCCCUAGCGUGGGGGAUAACUAGCCGAAAGGUUAGCUAAUACCGCAUGACAUCGUCGAGUGGCAUCAUUUGACGAUCAAAGGAGCAAUCCGCGCAAGGACGGGACCGCGUCCCAUUAGCUAGUUGGUGAGGUAACGGCCCACCAAGGCUUCGAUGGGUAGCUGGUUUGAGAGAGCGACCAGCCACACUGGGACUGAGACACGGCCCAGACUCCUACGGGAGGCAGCAGUGAGGAAUUUUCCGCAAUGGGCGAAAGCCUGACGGAGCGACGUCGCGUGUGGGAAGAAGGCCUUCGGGUCGUAACCACUGUCGAAGGGGAAGAUAUUGACGGUACCUUGGAGGAAGCCCGGCUAACUACGCGCCAGCACGCCGC
RNAcentral lists this ribosomal RNA (465 nucleotides) under uncultured bacterium. Its description in RNAcentral is "SSU rRNA". It matches the Rfam family "Bacterial small subunit ribosomal RNA", at positions 26 to 518 of the family's 1533-position model. The record is from RNAcentral.